RNAcentral lists this unclassified non-coding RNA (354 nucleotides) under soil metagenome. RNAcentral's name for it is "partial contains 5.8S ribosomal RNA, internal transcribed spacer 2, and large subunit ribosomal RNA". The stretch from base 1 to 120 matches the Rfam family "5.8S ribosomal RNA", at positions 35 to 154 of the family's 154-position model. The record is from RNAcentral.
GAUGAAGAACGUAGCGAAAUGCGAUAAGUAAUGUGAAUUGCAGAAUUCCGUGAAUCAUCGAAUCUUUGAACGCACAUUGCGCCCCCUGGCAUUCCGGGGGGCAUGCCUGUCCGAGCGUCAUUUCUGCCCUCCAGCCCGGCUGGGUGUUGGGCGCUGUCCCCCCGGGGACACGCCCCAAAGGCAGUGGCGGCGCCGCGUCGGGUCCUCGAGCGUAUGGGGCUUUGUCACCCGCUCGGGACGGACUCGUCGGCGCUGGUCUUCCUCCAGGCGUCCCUUCGGGGCUCGUCUUCCUUCGGUUGACCUCGGAUCAGGUAGGGUUACCCGCUGAACUUAAGCAUAUCAAUAAGCGGAGGA